AUACGGGGGGUGCAAGCGUUAUUCGGAAUUAUUGGGCGUAAAGGGUGCGUAGGCGGUUUUGUAAGUCAGAUGUGAAAUACCGGGGCUUAACUUCGGAACUGCAUUUGAUACUGCAAGACUUGAGUAUGGGAGAGGGAAGCGGAAUUCCUGGUGUAGAGGUGAAAUUCGUAGAUAUCAGGAGGAACACCGGUGGCGAAGGCGGCUUCCUGGACCAAUACUGACGCUGAGGCACGAAGGCGUGGGGAGC
This 247-nucleotide ribosomal RNA is filed under the name uncultured bacterium. RNAcentral's name for it is "partial 16S ribosomal RNA". It matches the Rfam family "Bacterial small subunit ribosomal RNA", at positions 523 to 769 of the family's 1533-position model. The record is from RNAcentral.